RNAcentral lists this ribosomal RNA (459 nucleotides) under uncultured bacterium. RNAcentral's name for it is "partial 16S ribosomal RNA". It matches the Rfam family "Bacterial small subunit ribosomal RNA", at positions 338 to 795 of the family's 1533-position model. The record is from RNAcentral.
CCUACGGGAGGCUGCAGUGAGGAUUAUUGGUCAAUGGACGAGAGUCUGAACCAGCCAAGUAGCGUGAAGGAUGACUGCCCGAUGGGUUGUAAACUUCUUUUAUAUGGGAAUAAAGUGUUCCAAGUGUGGGAUUUUGUAUGUACCAAAUGAAUAAGGAUCGGCUAACUCCGUGCCAGCAGCUGCGGAAAUACGGAGGAUCCGAGCGUUAUCCGGAUUUAUUGGGUUCAAAGGGAGCGUAGGUGGAUUGUUAAGUCAGUUGUGAAAGUUUGCGGCUCAACCCCGGCGAGCCGUUGAAACUGGCUGUCUUGAGAUGUCGAGAGGUAUGCGGAAUGCGCAGUGUAGCGGUGAAAUGCUUAGAUAUUGCGCAGAACUCCGAUUGCGAAGGCAGCAUACCGGCGGCGAUCUGACGCUGAGGCACGAAAGCGUGGGUAUCGAACAGGAUUAGAUACCCCAGUAGUC